Molecule: ribosomal RNA, 433 nt
Filed under: uncultured bacterium
Lineage: Bacteria
Description: partial 16S ribosomal RNA
Rfam family: Bacterial small subunit ribosomal RNA
Source: RNAcentral
AACGAACGCUGGCGGCAUGCCUAACACAUGCAAGUCGAACGAGACCUUCGGGUCUAGUGGCGCACGGGUGCGUAACGCGUGGGAACCUGCCUUUAGGUUCGGAAUAACUCAGAGAAAUUUGAGCUAAUACCGGAUGAUUUCUUCGGACCAAAGAUUUAUCGCCUUUAGAUGGGCCCGCGUUGGAUUAGCUAGUUGGUUGGGUAAAGGCCUACCAAGGCGACGAUCCAUAGCUGGUCUGAGAGGAUGAUCAGCCACACUGGGACUGAGACACGGCCCAGACUGCUACGGGAGGCAGCAGUGGGGAAUAUUGGACAAGGGGCGAAAGCCUGAUACAGCAAUGACGCGUGAGUGAUGAAGGCCUUAGGGUUGUAAAGCUCUUUUACCCGAGAUGAUAAUGACAGUAUCGGGAGAAUAAGCUCCGGCUAACUCCGUG